AGUGGCACCCAGUGUCCCCAAGUCUCCCAGUGUCCCCUAGUGACAUGGGGACACUGGUAGACAUGGGGACACUGGGAGACAUGAGGACACUGGGAGCAAU
Molecule: non-coding RNA, 100 nt
Organism: Pelobates cultripes (western spadefoot toad)
Lineage: Eukaryota; Metazoa; Chordata; Amphibia; Anura; Pelobatidae
Source: the annotation of a GenBank genome assembly